RNAcentral lists this ribosomal RNA (765 nucleotides) under Glomeromycotina sp. OTU17 DJMC-2012. RNAcentral describes it as "eukaryotic LSU rRNA". It matches the Rfam family "Eukaryotic large subunit ribosomal RNA", at positions 49 to 657 of the family's 3401-position model. The record is from RNAcentral. Lineage: Eukaryota; Fungi; Glomeromycota.
AGCGGAGGAAAAGAAAAUAACAAUGAUUCCCUCAGUAACGGCGAGCGAAGAGGGAUAAGCUCAANUUUUAAAUCUGUUGGGUUCCACUUAACAGAGUUGUAUUUUGAAGAAACGUUUUCUGCAUCCAGGAUUAGCCUAAAUCCUUUGGGAUAAGGUAUCAUGGAGGGUGAGAAUCCCGUUCAUGGUUAAUCUUAAGGAAGCUCUACGAUACGUUUUCCAAGAGUCGAGUUGUUUGGGAUUGCAGCUCAAAAUGGGAGGUAAAUUUCUCCUAAGGCUAAAUAUUGGCGAGAGACCGAUAGCGAACAAGUACCGUGAGGGAAAGAUGAAAAGAACUUUGAAAAGAGAGUUAAACAGUACGUGAAAUUGUUGAAAGGGAAACGAUUGAAGUCAGUCAUACCAACGGGAAAUCAACCUUUUGAGCUUGGUCUCGUGGGUUUUGAAGAGUUUCAAAGCCUUCGGAUUCGCGGGAUUGGGAUCUCUUGGUGUACUUUCUCGUACGGUUAGUCAACAUCGGUUUUGAAUGUCAUAAAAUGACUGGAGGAAUGUAGCUUCGAUCUCGUAUUGAAGUGUUAUAGCCUUUGGUAGAUGUGAUGUUUGAGACCGAGGAUUGCAACGGAUACCCUUCAGGGCUAUUCGUCUGAUCUCUGAUACGUUGCCUUGAUGUUGAAAGCUUGCUUAUGAUGUUAGGGUAUUACGGUCAAAAGGUUAGAACGAAUUACAUUCGUUAAGGAUGUUGACGUAAUGACUUUAAACGACCCGUCUUGA